RNAcentral lists this ribosomal RNA (761 nucleotides) under uncultured Bacillota bacterium. RNAcentral describes it as "bacterial SSU rRNA". It matches the Rfam family "Bacterial small subunit ribosomal RNA", at positions 585 to 1346 of the family's 1533-position model. Lineage: Bacteria; Bacillati; Bacillota. The record is from RNAcentral.
UAGUCUGAUGUGAAAGCCCACGGCUUAACCGUGGAAGGUCAUUGGAAACUGUUCAACUUGAAUACAGAAGAGGUAAGUGGAAUUCCAAGUGUAGCGGUGAAAUGCGUAGAUAUUUGGAGGAACACCAGUGGCGAAGGCGACUUACUGGUCUGUAAUUGACGCUGAGGCUCGAAAGCGUGGGUAGCAAACAGGAUUAGAUACCCUGGUAGUCCACGCCGUAAACGAUGAGUGCUAAGUGUUAGGGGGUUUCCGCCCCUUAGUGCUGGAGUUAACGCAUUAAGCACUCCGCCUGGGGAGUACGGCCGCAAGGCCGAAACUCAAAGGAAUUGACGGGGACCCGCACAAGCGGUGGAGCAUGUGGUUUAAUUCGACGCAACGCGAAGAACCUUACCAACUCUUGACAUCUUCUGAUCACCCUAGAGAUAGGGCUUUCCCUUCGGGGACAGAAUGACAGGUGGUGCAUGGUUGUCGUCAGCUCGUGUCGUGAGAUGUUGGGUUAAGUCCCAUAACGAGCGCAACCCUUAUUGUUAGUUGCCAGCAUUCAGUUGGGCACUCUAGCGAGACUGCCGGUGAUAAACCGGAGGAAGGUGGGGAUGACGUCAAAUCAUCAUGCCCCUUAUGAGUUGGGCUACACACGUGCUACAAUGGACGGUACAACGAGUAGCGAUCCCGCAAGGGUUAGCGAAUCUUAAUAAGCCGUUCUCAGUUCGGAUUGUUCUCUGCAACUCGAGAGCAUGAAGCCGGAAUCGCUAGUAAUCGCG